RNAcentral lists this unclassified non-coding RNA (401 nucleotides) under soil metagenome. Its description in RNAcentral is "partial contains 5.8S ribosomal RNA, internal transcribed spacer 2, and large subunit ribosomal RNA". The stretch from base 1 to 121 matches the Rfam family "5.8S ribosomal RNA", at positions 35 to 154 of the family's 154-position model. The record is from RNAcentral.
GAUGAAGAACGUAGCGAAAUGCGAUAAGUAAUGUGAAUUGCAGAAUUCAGUGAAUCAUCGAAUCUUUGAACGCACCUUGCGCCCUUUGGCUAUUCCGAAGGGCAUGCCUGUUUGAGUAUCGUGAACACCUCAACUCUCAUGGUUUGCCAUGAUGAGCUUGGACUUGGGGGUUUUGCUGGCCCUCGGUCGGCUCCUCUCAAACGGAUCAGCUUUCCAGUGUUUGGUGGCGUCACGGGUGUGAUAACUAUCUACGCCUGUGGUUUUCUGCCAGAUAACCUUCAGCGAUGGAGGUUCGCUGGGGCUCAUAAAUGUCUCUCUUCAGUGGAGACAGCUUUUUGGACGUUUGAUCUCAAAUCAGGUAGGACUACCCGCUGAACUUAAGCAUAUCAAGAAGCGGAGGA